RNAcentral lists this long non-coding RNA (1125 nucleotides) under Nicotiana benthamiana. RNAcentral describes it as "long non-coding RNA (NBEN_LNC029679)". Lineage: Eukaryota; Viridiplantae; Streptophyta; Magnoliopsida; Solanales; Solanaceae. The record is from RNAcentral.
CUGAUCAGAAUUGCCAGUUCUUCCUGUAGGACCUUUAUUCCAGGUAAAUCCUGGUGGUAAUUCAUCUGCUGAAGCUUCUCUGAUCAGACAAGCCUGAUCAGAAUUGCCAGUUCUUACUGUCGGACCAUUAUUCCAGGUAAAGCCUGGUGGUAAUUCAUCCGCUGAAGCUUCUCUGCUCAGAGAAGCCUGAUCAGAAUUGUUAGUUCCUACUCUUGGACCUUUAUUCCAGGUAAAGCCUGGUGGUAAGUCAUCUGCUGAAGCUUCUCUGGCCAGAGAAGCCUGGUUGGAAUUGCCAGUUCUUAAUGUCGGAUCUUUAUUCCAGGUAAAGCCUGGUGGUAAUUCAUCCGCUGAAGUUUCUCCGCUCAGAUCUUUGUUCUGGAUAAGUAUUUCCUUUCCCCAGCCUGGUGGUAAUUCAUCCGCUGAAGCAUCUUUGCUCAGAGAAGCCUGAUCACACUGAAGCUUCUCUGGUCGGAGAAGCCUGAUCGGAAUUGCCAGUUCCUAAUGUCGGACCUUUAUUCCAGGUAAAGCCUGGUGGUAAUUCAUCCGCUGAAGCUUCUCCGCUCAGAUCUUUGUUCUGGAUAAGUAUUUCCUUUCCCCAGCCUGGUGGUAAUUCAUCCGCUGGAGCUUCUUUGCUCAGAGAAGCCUGAACAGAAUAGCCAGUUCCUACAAUAGGAUCUUUGUUCGGGGCAAGUAUUUCCUUUUCCCAGGCUGGUCGUAAUUCCUCCGCUGAAGCUUCUCUGCUCAGAGAAGCCUGAUCAGAAUUGCCAGUUCCUGCAGUAGAAUCUUUGUUCGGGGAAAGUAUUCCGUUGUCCCAGCCUGGUGGUAAUUGAUCUGCUGAAGCUUCUCUGCUCAAAGCCUGCUCAGAAUUGCCUGUUCCUACUGUAGGAUCUUUGGUCGGGGCAAGUAUUUCCUUUUCCCAGGUUAGUGGUAAUUCCUCCGCUGAAGCUCCUCUGCUCAGAGAAGCCUGACCAGAAUUGCCAGUUCCUACUGUCAGAUCUUUGUUCGAGGCAAGUGUUUCCUUUCCUAAGCCUGGGGGUAAUUCAUCGACUGAAGCUUCUCUGCUCAGAGAAGCCUGAUCAGAAUUGCCAAUUCCUACUGUCGGAUCUUUGUUCUGGGCAAGUAUUU